GCCGAAGCGCACGGUGUGGAAGAGCACCGAGUUCGCCGGCCGCCCCGGGCUCACGCCGAUGCAGACGGCGGGCAGCUCGGAGCCCGGCCCGGUCAGUAGCGCGAACACUGGAAGGGGCGUCGGCAGCGGGAACAGCACCUGCUGCAGGCCGCACAGGGAGGGGCGGGCUCAGAGUCGUGGGGCGGGGCCUGAGAGGGGAGGGGCCUGGGAGGAGAGCCUGCAGGGAGCUUCCCAAGUAUAUUUCCUGGGCCCUCGGUUUUGGGGGAUGGCACCUAGAAACUUCAGGGGGUAAGGCCCCAGAGGCGUGAGGUGAUGCCUCCUUAGAAAUGGGUGGAUGUGGCUCAAAGUUGGCGUGCCUUGUUUGGAGCGUGCCGCCUUAAUGACAGCGAGGCGGGGUCCCCGGAGGGGCGUGACCUCACAGGCAGCAAAGUCUCCUUAGAGUCAAAGGAUCUGAGUGGGGUCCCCUUAGAGACCAGAGGAAUGGGGCAUACGGCCUGAAGGAUAAUUAGGCUGGAGUGAGAGGCGGAGCUUAAGGAUCCAGAAGCUCUCAGAAGGGGGAGCCUCUGGCGCCGACCACAGGUGGGCGGGGCCUCGGGUAGAAGCCGGGCUUCAUGAAACUCUCAGCAGAAGCGUAACAAGUGGAAGGCCCUAGCAUGCAACCUCGCAGAGUCCCCAGCCUCGACAGCCCCCCUACCCGGACCAGCAGGAACUUGUUCAUGGGCUGGUACCACUGAAGCAGGACCACGGACGUCUCCAGUGCGCCGCACAGGAACGGGCCCCCUGAGUUCGCACCCUCCGCUGUGGGGGAUGGGUAAGGAUGGGUUAGGGUCAAUCUUCUCUCCCCUCCACCCCCCCCCCAAAGGGCACACAACUUCCCCGGGCUGUUGACAGCCUGCCUCAACAAUGUAACCCCCUUGGAUAGAUGCAGUUCCCCCCCCCCACCACGCCCCCUUUCCUCACGUUCCCCCCACCCUACCCCGUCAGGAUUCUCUCUCACCCACGCAGCAAGCCCGGCACCCUUUGGUGUCCUGGAUCUUGGUGGAGACCAUAUUCUUCCUGCAGGAGAAAGCAGGUGUAAAUGCGGAGGGACGGCAGGAAGGGGGGAUUGCGGGGGGGGCCUGUGGCGCCACUGGGGGCUGGUACCUUGCCAGAAGCCGGUGGGGGCUCAUGUGAGCGAUGGGGCUUCCCGCUCUGGUCUCCUUGCGCUCCAGCAGGCCCAGGAUGCUAUGAGAAUACAGGUGGGGGGUCUUUCCUACAGCGUAUGUGUGUGUAAGGGGAAGCAGGCAGUUAACGGACACCAGACACAGCCACCUUUCUCUGUCCCUUCUCUUGGCCCUAUCCCUUUGAAACUCCCAAGGCUUCAAGUCUCAAACACUUUUAUGUCUUCAUUUUCCACUCAACAUAUUGUAAAUGUCCACCUUAGGCCAGGUCCUGUGCUUGGCUCUGGUGAACAGUGGUGAGGAAAACGAGUAUGUUCCCUAGCCUCCCAUGCUGGUAGCCGCAGGAGAAACUAUGGACACUUAGCCAGCCAGGUGAAGGUGCACAUGCUACUAAAUUUAAGAAGAAACCGAUCUAGAAAUUCUCUUGAAGUCUGUCAUCACAGAUGUGAUAUUAACUAACUCAUGAAGCCUAUUUGGCUUGGUGUUUCCCUGUCAAUUAGAAAUUCUAAUUCUUUUACGCAAAAUGUUUAUAAAACAGUUAACACAAAAUUGUAACCUCUAUCUACUCCCUCACUCUAUUUCACAAAAGUGUGGGAUAAGUUUCAACUCUCAUCUAAACGUCAAAGAAAUGUAAAGACUUACUGUAGACCUUACCUCAAAACUGACUUGAGGUGGGACUACUGUGAACCCCAUUUUAUGGGCAGGGAAACUGAGGCCCAGGGAGCAAGUCCCACAGUGAAAAAGUGGGCUGAGAUUUUUAACUGCGGGCUCUGUGAAGGGGGAGCCUACGUUUUUGUUUGUUUUAUUUUGUUUUCAGCUGUGCCCAUCUACCUCCCAACCCCUUCUUGACCCCUUAACUUCUGACCCCACUCCCCCCACCUGACCCACAGCCAGACCUGAGAGGGACAUGAGGACAUUGUUGAUGGAGUACACCCAGGUAGUCCGGCUAGGAAAGAGCUGCAGAGAACGAGGCAGAUGGCUCCCAUAAGACCCCAGCAACCCCCAACUCCAGCCCCUGCCCUCGGUCCCCCAGCUGCUGUCCUCACCAUCUCCAGUGUGGCCUCCUGAUCAUUCCGGUUCAAGAUGAAAAUGCCUUCCUCUGCCCCCAGGAGCAGGUGCUGGUCUGUGGGGACAGACACAAGGACGAUGGAACCUGCCUCAUCCUGGGGAGGGGCCUCCCAGACCCUGACCUGACCCCAAACACUGCUAGUCUGUCCUCCAGCCCUGACGCUCAAUUCUCUCUGACUCCCAGCCUCUGUCUCCCCAAAUCUGAACUCAAACCCUGACCCAGUGCCAGCUCAAGCUGGUCUCAUUCUUAUCUACCUCUCAAGGCUGGACCUGCAAAUCCUGACCCCUGUCCCCUCAACUUUGACCCCAACAUGAGUCAUGCUUCCCCACAUAGCCUCCGAAGUUCCAUCCUUCUCUUCCCCAGUCCUGACCCCCAAAUGCUAAUCUUGUCUCAACACUGAUCCUCAAACUCGGGCCCCCUGAAAUGUGGCUUUUUCUGUCCAGUGUGUCCCCCUCAAACUCUGUUUUUUUUAAAAUAAGUUUUAGUCAUUUUUUAAAAAAGAUUUUAAGUAAUCUCUACACCUAACAUGGGGUUUGACCUUACAAUCCUGAGAUCAAGGGUUGCCCACUCCCCCGACUGAGCCAGCCAGAUGCCUCUAAUGCUGGGUCUUUAACAUUUACCCCUCACUGACCUUGUCUCCACAUCUCUCAUUCCCAAAUCCUUUCCCUUUCUGCCUACAUUCCCAUCCCCCAAACUUCCAACUCCAAAAUGCAGACCCCAGCCUCUGUUACAUUAACCUCCAGCUGAGGUUAAAGGGUCCAACUUAUACCCCAAACUCUGACCAUUCUGUUAUGAUAUUCCUGGACCCUAAACUCUUACUUUCCUAAUUUUCACCCACAAAUUCAUUUUCACUCUACCCGUAUUUGAUCCCCAAACCCCAACUGUAACCCUGGGCUCUGGUCCUGCCUCGGUUCUGCCCCCCCCCCCCCCCCCAUCCUAUUAAGACCCUCCCCAGGGGGCGCCUGGGUGGCUCAGUCAGUUAAGCUUCUGACUCUUGAUUUCAGCUCAGGUCGUGAUCUCACAGUUUGUGACUUUGAGCCCUGAAUCGGGCUCUCUGCUGUCAGCACAGGGCCCCCUUCAGAACCUCUGUCUCACUCUCUCUCUCUCUCUCUCUCUCUCUGCUCUUCCCCCAUUCUUGCAUGUGCGCGCUCUAUCUCUCAAAAAUAAAUAUUUAAAAAAAAGACCCUCCCCCACCCCUGCCUCUGUGCCUCCAUUAAGGGCCCUCCCCAUCCCCCUUCCUUUCCGUGACGCUCCUGAGUGCCCACCCUUGGUGGAGGGGUGUAUCCAGGCAGCCGUGCUGUGGAUCCGGAGGGGGCAGCCAUUGAACAACUUCACGAGAAGGGCACAUCCCUAGGCGGGCCACGGGGGGCAGAGCAGCAGAUCCAACAAAAGGAAGGAGGGGACACGAAUGUGCAGGGGUUAAGACUCUGACGCAAGAGCACCAGCAUUCAAAUCCUGCCUCU
RNAcentral lists this long non-coding RNA (3692 nucleotides) under Lynx pardinus (Iberian lynx). The record is from RNAcentral. Lineage: Eukaryota; Metazoa; Chordata; Mammalia; Carnivora; Felidae.